GGGCCCAUAGCUCAGCUGGUCAGAGCAUCUGACUCAUAAUCAGAGGGUCCCUGGUUNNGUUCAAGCCCAGGUGGGCCCA
RNAcentral lists this transfer RNA (79 nucleotides) under Bacteroidales bacterium. RNAcentral's name for it is "tRNA-Met". It matches the Rfam family "tRNA". Rfam says of the family: Transfer RNA (tRNA) molecules are approximately 80 nucleotides in length. Their secondary structure includes four short double-helical elements and three loops (D, anti-codon, and T loops). Lineage: Bacteria; Pseudomonadati; Bacteroidota; Bacteroidia; Bacteroidales. The record is from RNAcentral.